UUUGGUUUUUAGUUAUUGCAACACUUGUAACUAUAAGGGUACACAUUACAGGAAGGAGGUGAGGAAGGAUCUGAUCCCUCAUCUUCUCGUUACUUUCUCGUUUAUUUUUACAUAUUGUACACGAUUAAGUGUAUAAAAAUGAAAUUCAAUAUAAAAUUAUUUGAAAACUUCUCACGAGAACAUUUUUCGCCACCGAUCCUCGCUUAUACAAAAGAUAUGUAUAGGCCACUGUAACACGGUUAUAUGAUAUGGCCGUGCUUCAUUAAAACAUGUUUAAAUAUCUUUAAUGAAUUCUAAAUUAAAACACCGUCAUGAGGUAAAAUGUUUGGCUACUUAUGAGUGCAUUUUAUUAUUUAAUUGA
This is a non-coding RNA of Cinara cedri, 361 nucleotides long. The record is from the annotation of a GenBank genome assembly. NCBI's taxonomy places the organism in Eukaryota, Metazoa, Arthropoda, Insecta, Hemiptera, Aphididae.